UAAAGUAGGUGCGCGCGUCGGGAGGGCGCUAUGUUUCGAGAAACGGAGGCUAAAGUGAGCUUAACUGGAUCAGGGCGUUUUCUAUUGCAAACCUCUGUCCGAGCGAGGGCUGGACGGGGAAAGGAGGGGCGCGCUCUGCCGACCUCGGUGGCUGCCGCGUCCACAACGACUAUUCACCUUGGGGCCCUCCGACUCAAUUCGUGGUACCGACUUCCUCAACAUUCCUCCUUAAUGUGGUGUACCCUACUACUCUACCUACCACGUGACGAACUCCACGAACAACUAGUAGUGUUGUUACCGCUGGUAAGUGUUUUACCUACCUUUGGUGUACACAUAACACGUCGGUAUUCCUUACACUUCCUCUUCACGUUGUUCUUAUAGUGUUUCCUGUUGUAAAACCCUUCCGAAUCUUGAAAGCUGUCCAUGAUACUUCAGUAAUGGUUCUAUGAAAGGGUUUCACCAAAACCCACCCUAACCCACUUAGUAUUCGAUAGUUACCUAUCACUACUACAGACCUAGUUUAUACACCUCCGAUUAUUCUUUCUCUUUCCUAAUCGAAGGAUGUUCUGGUUUCAUCACUUCGUAACCCUCAGGUAUAGAUAGUAUAUAAGUUUUCUAGUACGGUUACCACUUCCACGCUACUGACCACGACUCUGAUGACGUCUAGGUCUUCGUCUUGGUUAUCUUUAGAGAGGUCUUCACCGUGGUUUCUCCGUUGCUUGUCCACUCAGGUAAUACACGUACUAACCUCUUUACUCCCGAUGAAAGUUCCUACGAAACUUCUGUUGACUAGGUGAAGGUGACGGUUUUCGAUGGUGAGGACGACGUUAAGAACGACGUGAAAUCAACUAUGGUCUGAACCGUCUCGGUCUGUACAACGCUAGUAUACCCUUCGACUAAGAAUUACUCGCAAACAAACUUCGAGAUUACCUCAACGGGUACCUUUACUCCUUCCGGACCGACAAUCACAACGGAAUUUAAAUAAGUUUACAACGAAAAAUCGAACAGAACAAAUUGAUGAACUUGGAUAAACUUGAUCACGCCACUACAAUUUAAAUCUUGAUACACAACAACAACAACUCUUAAACCUUUGAUGUAUAGGCUUGAUGCACAACAACAUACACGAGACCAAUUUUUAAACGUGAGACAAGCGUAUUAAUAACAACAACAACAAUCUUUAAAUAG
RNAcentral lists this ribosomal RNA (1185 nucleotides) under Triticum aestivum (bread wheat). Its description in RNAcentral is "partial small subunit ribosomal RNA". The record is from RNAcentral. Lineage: Eukaryota; Viridiplantae; Streptophyta; Magnoliopsida; Poales; Poaceae.